CGAUGUCCGAAUGGGGAAACCCAGUGUGUUCCGACACACUAUCGUUAACUGAAUACAUAGGUUAACGAGGCGAACCGGGGGAACUGAAACAUCUAAGUACCCCGAGGAAAAGAAAUCAACCGAGAUUCCCCCAGUAGCGGCGAGCGAACGGGGAGCAGCCCGGAGUCUGAAUCAGCUUGUGUGUUAGUGGAACGGUCUGGAAAGUCCGACGGUACAGGGUGAUAGUCCCGUACACGAAAAUGCACAGGUUGUGAACUCGAAGAGUAGGGCGGGACACGUGGUAUCCUGUCUGAAUAUGGGGGGACCAUCCUCCAAGGCUAAAUACUCCUGACUGACCGAUAGUGAACCAGUACCGUGAGGGAAAGGCGAAAA
Molecule: ribosomal RNA, 372 nt
Filed under: Enterobacter cloacae
Lineage: Bacteria; Pseudomonadati; Pseudomonadota; Gammaproteobacteria; Enterobacterales; Enterobacteriaceae
Description: bacterial LSU rRNA
Rfam family: Bacterial large subunit ribosomal RNA
Source: RNAcentral